This 665-nucleotide long non-coding RNA is filed under the name Equus caballus (horse). RNAcentral's name for it is "lncRNA (ENSECAG00000056984.1)". The record is from RNAcentral. Lineage: Eukaryota; Metazoa; Chordata; Mammalia; Perissodactyla; Equidae.
ACUUGGCCAGGCUGAUGGUGACCGUUAGCAGUCAGCCUCAGAUCACAUUCCUCAGCACCAAAAAGUGUUAAAAAAAAUGAUUCUAGAAGACAAUUUAGGCGAUACAACAACUUUUAGUUAACACUUCACGGAGCGGACAGUCUCCUUUCAGAGAACUGCAAAAUGAGGUGGAAGGCAGGGAGCUUUCAUAGGAUGAAGAACAAAGAACAAGAAAAACACAAAGAAAACACAUCUGAUAGUCUGGGGCCUCCGAGUCCACCUUGUUUGGGGUGAGAAGGAACAAGGAAGAAAACCUUGAUCUUGGAUGAAGUGAACCAUCUGCCUUCUUUGUGUCUGUAUGAGGACUACCAAGCUGCUGGAGGAAAAUUGCACACUUCAACAGUCUCUGUAAACUCACCAUCACCAACUUCACAUGGAUUUCAACCUACCUGGCAAUCCUGCAGCCUGGCUUCUGCUACCACUCCACUGAAGCUGGUCUUACCAACAUCAUCACUGACCUUGAUAAUGACAGCAUUGUUAUCAUAAUAGCCACUUGGUCUCCUUAUUGCCUUCCAACAACAUUUAAAACAGCCGACAGCUUUUUUUACAUUCUGUCCUUGGCUUUCAUAACAUAUGGAGUAAUUGCGUCCUUGAGACUUUGCCCAAUGCCCGCUUUUCACUCUGCG